RNAcentral lists this transfer RNA (85 nucleotides) under Gammaproteobacteria bacterium. RNAcentral describes it as "tRNA-Leu". It matches the Rfam family "tRNA". From Rfam's summary of the family: Transfer RNA (tRNA) molecules are approximately 80 nucleotides in length. Their secondary structure includes four short double-helical elements and three loops (D, anti-codon, and T loops). Lineage: Bacteria; Pseudomonadati; Pseudomonadota; Gammaproteobacteria. The record is from RNAcentral.
GGCGGUGUGGUGAAAUUGGUAUACACGAGGGAUUCAAAAUCCCUUGCCUUCGGGCGUGACGGUUCGAGUCCGUCCACCGCUACCA